UCCGUAGGUGACCUGCGGAA
RNAcentral lists this ribosomal RNA (20 nucleotides) under Pluteus pulverulentus. RNAcentral's name for it is "partial 18S ribosomal RNA". Lineage: Eukaryota; Fungi; Basidiomycota; Agaricomycetes; Agaricales; Pluteaceae. The record is from RNAcentral.